This 323-nucleotide long non-coding RNA is filed under the name Pelobates cultripes (western spadefoot toad). The record is from RNAcentral. Lineage: Eukaryota; Metazoa; Chordata; Amphibia; Anura; Pelobatidae.
AAAAAACCCAGUUUGAAGCACAAUUUUGCAACAAGCUAGGAAAAAAAAUUCAUUCUUGACCCCAGAAUGGCAGUCAGAUUUAUCCUUGGAUCAAGCAGUUAUUACCCUACAUUGAAAGAUUAUAUCCUUGAAUAUUCUGUUCUUGCAAGUAUGCAUCUAGUAGCCGUUUGAAAAUCUGUAUGGACUCUGAUAAAACCACUUCUUCAGGCAGAGAAUUCCACAUCCUGAUUGUUCUUACAGUAAAAAAAACUUUCCUUUGCCUUAGACGAAAUCUUCUUUCUUCCAGUCUAAACGCAUGACCUUGUGUCCUAUGUAAAGUCCAG